CAGUCGCCGCGGUAAUGCGAAGGGGGCUAGCGUUGCUCGGAAUGACUGGGCGUAAAGGGCGCGUAGGCGGCGAUCAAAGUCAGGCGUGAAAUUCCUGGGCUCAACCUGGGGGCUGCGCUUGAUACUUGGUUGCUUGAAUGGGGAAGAGGGUCGUGGAAUUCCCAGUGUAGAGGUGAAAUUCGUAGAUAUUGGGAAGAACACCGGUGGCGAAGGCGGCGACCUGGUCCUUGACUGACGCUGAGGCGCGAAAGCGCGGGGAGCAAACAGGAUUAGAUACCCCCGUAGUCCCUGUCUCUUAUAC
This 301-nucleotide ribosomal RNA is filed under the name uncultured bacterium. RNAcentral describes it as "partial 16S ribosomal RNA". It matches the Rfam family "Bacterial small subunit ribosomal RNA", at positions 509 to 807 of the family's 1533-position model. The record is from RNAcentral.